Long non-coding RNA from Mesocricetus auratus (golden hamster), 2495 nucleotides. RefSeq lists it as uncharacterized. The record is from RefSeq and is a predicted model, not a curated record. The transcript has 2 exons. Lineage: Eukaryota; Metazoa; Chordata; Mammalia; Rodentia; Cricetidae.
GGCUACGGAAGACGGAAACGCCUGUGUGUGCUCACUGGGUAAACAGAGCCUGUGCAGCCUGGUCAAGUGCCGCAUUAGAGACAGGUGGGGAGAACACGCUCAACUAAUCCAGGACAGUUACCCCUGUCCGAAGCGGUGAAACCUGAGAUUGGGAAGCCCAGCCGCUGUCUGGGGAGCGGGCAUCCUGCGUGGACACUGGGACUUGACUAUUAGCACACAAGGUGCGGGCAGGGACUGACCGCCCGGCAUCCAAGGCUGCUGGGGCGCUUCCUGAUGGAUCUGUGCUCUCCUGGCAGCUGGGAAGGAGCGGGGUGGCUUUGACCACAACUGCUGCUGGGCCAGAGAAUCCUGGAGAAAGGAAUGGCGCUCACCAAUGGACGCCAGCAACAGGGUUGUUUGGAUGCUGCUAAGUGACCAGAAACGAGAGAAGUCUACAUGUAAAGAGGAGCUGCCCACCCCAACCCCCCACCCGCAGGAGGGCAGGGUGGCCCAGGGCAAGCGCGCUCCCCGAGAUGCGCGCUCUGGCGUCGGGACUCCUUCGUUGGGGACCUGGUUUACAAAGGCUAGCCCAGCCUUGCCCCGGGGUGUCUGCGACGGGCCACCGAGUGGGUCCCCGACCAAUGAACCCCAACUUUAAAGAGCCGUGGCUCCAGGGGUCCCAAGUAACCCCGGCUUCCGUGGGUCCCAGGCUCUCCGCCGCCUGCCCCGGGAGGCCUUUUCUUUCUUUCGGCCGAGAAGGCGGGGUCAUCUACCGCGAAGACGAAAAUCUUUCCAGGAAGUUUGUACCUAUUAAUAUUCCAGUUCCUGGCAGCAGCUCUCCGCGCCGGGGAGGGGGCAGGGCGGACCCUGCAGCUGCUUCUGCAGCCGAGUGUCCACCGCUGGCCCGAGGCAAGCGGCGGAGGGGUAGCUCCUAGGUCCCACGCUCACGGCGGGAGCAGGACCUGCUCCGAUGCUCAAGGCGCCAGAGCCCCGAGGCUAGCCCGCGAGCGGCGCGCGGUGGGACCCGGAGGAUCCCGAGGCCGAGACGAAACCAAGAGCUGGGACGCGGGAGGGGGAUGGGAGAAGGACAGGAGGGAUCCGUGCCUCGGAGCGGGUUGUGGGUCAACCAGAGGCCGGCACUUGGGCUGCGCCUCUCCCCCAAAAGAAAACUGGUCCGGGAAGCAGGAGCCCUCGAGGAGCGGGAGACCGCGAGCCCCAGGGCCCUGGAGAGGCUGGGACCCUGGUUCUGACCUUGCUAUGGUAACACAGCCGUAGGGCGCUGCAGCAGAAAUUUGAUAUUUGAAAGCUUAUGGGCUCCUCGCCACCACCUUGCAUGACUGUCAUUAUCUCCGAUCACAGACGGAGAAAUUGGAGCUCACGAGUAGCUAAGGGACUGGCGCGCUGGAGGUCGUAGUGUUGUUCGCCACCGCACGGUCCUGUGUGAGGCCGGAUCUCCUAGAAGGAAGCGCAGCUGUUGGCCCGCAGUAGCGGCCAGCAGACUCCUCAGCUCAGGGAACCGCAGGACCCACCCGGAGCCUGCCGGAUUUGCAGAAGCUCUUUCAGGGCGCAAGUGCCCGCUCAGUCUUUCUAUCUGGCCACAUGUGGGACAUAAGCCACUUGUCGAAGCACCCGAGUGUGUAACACCGCUGGGCUUCUGUAGAUAAGCCUUCUGACCUGGGCUGGUCCGGUGCUAACUGACCCCGAGGAUGAAUUUAAUUAAGUUCCUAUGUCGCACUGUCUUCCUCAGCAUUCUAGAGUCGUUUGCAAGGCACGAAGGCAAUCCUCCUGUCCAGGACGGUCAAACCUACCCUGUGCAGGGACUCUGUCCAGCUCUGUAUAACCUGUCCAGCCACUAGGUCACCAGUGCUGAGACAGGAAAGGACAAAGGUGUCCUUUGUCCCGUCCCCCCCCCCAAACGCGAGCCUCCAGCCUUCAGGGGCUCUGGGUAGCCCAGGACCCAUCUGUGCCUCCCAGAUGACCCUCACCAGUGGGCCUGCGAGGAGGCUGGAACAGAAUUUGGUAUUUUAAGGUAGGGUUUGCCAACUAGGAAGUCUUCCCAUAGCCCUUCUCCUGGGAAAAAAAUCCUCAAAGGCCAAGUCCCCAGUGGAAUGUGAGACCCACCACGGGUGGCCUCUCUUCUGUCUCCUUUGAGUGCCCGGUGUGGAGACCUCUCCUGGACUAUUAGCCAUCAGCAGGAGGUAUCUUCUGGAACCAGAAGUCAGCAAACACGGCCGCCUUCUCAGCUCUCAGCCUUGUCUGAAGCAUUAUUUCUUUCGGCUUCUGUUUUCCUUCACACUCAGAAGGUGCAAGGAGGAGAAGGCCCUGUCACACAAAUGCUCUGGGUUCAGCUUGGGUGAGCCAGGAAACCCAUCACCUUCCCUUUGGGCUGCAGAACCCUGCUAGGUUGCCAUGCACAUGUCCCGGGAACAACGAGGCAGCAUCAGCUAUUUCAAUGCAGAGCUAGGCACACAAUCCUUGCUAAAAAUAAAUACAAAGGAAAACCCCAAAGUAGCUAA